CCUACGGGUGGCAGCAGUGGGGAAUAUUGCUCAAUGGGGGAAACCCUGAUGCAGCAACGCCGCGUGAGUGAUGACGGCCUUCGGGUUGUAAACUUCUGUUUUUAGGGACGUUAAUGACGGUAUCUGAGGAAUAAGCCACGGCUAACUACGUGCCAGCAGCCGCGGUAAUACGUAGGGGGCGAGCGUUGUCCGGAUUCACUGGGCGUAAAGGGAGCGUAGGCGGAGUAUUAAGUAAGAUGUGAAAUGCUGGAGCUGAACUUGAGGACUGCAUUUGAAACUGUCAGUCUGGAGUGCAGGAGAGGAGGAUGGAAUUCCUGGUGUAGGGGUGAAAUGCGUAGAGAUUAGGAAGAACACUAAUGGCGAAGGCGAUUCGCUGGACUGUAACUGACGCUGAGGCUCGAAAGCGUGGGGAGCAAACAGGAUUAGAUACCCUGGUAGUC
This 440-nucleotide ribosomal RNA is filed under the name uncultured bacterium. Its description in RNAcentral is "partial 16S ribosomal RNA". It matches the Rfam family "Bacterial small subunit ribosomal RNA", at positions 338 to 795 of the family's 1533-position model. The record is from RNAcentral.